Small nucleolar RNA from Sceloporus undulatus (fence lizard), 190 nucleotides. RefSeq annotates it as small nucleolar RNA U3. NCBI's taxonomy places the organism in Eukaryota, Metazoa, Chordata, Lepidosauria, Squamata, Phrynosomatidae. The record is from RefSeq and is a predicted model, not a curated record. The transcript has a single exon.
UGGAGAUGACCAAGCAACAGGGAUCAUUCCUGUUGUAGUUCUCUAGACAAAGGGAAGGGUUUUUUUGUGGGUUUUUCAGGCUAUGUGGCGAUGUUCUAGAAGAGUUUAUUCCUGACGUUUUGCUGGCAUCUUCAGAGAUGCCAGCCACAGAUGCUGGUGAAAUGUCAGGAAUAAACUCUUGUAGAACAUG